This 509-nucleotide ribosomal RNA is filed under the name uncultured bacterium. Its description in RNAcentral is "bacterial SSU rRNA". It matches the Rfam family "Bacterial small subunit ribosomal RNA", at positions 10 to 532 of the family's 1533-position model. The record is from RNAcentral.
AGUUUGAUCCUGGCUCAGAAUCAACGCUGGCGGCGUGCCUCAGACAUGCAAGUCGAACGAUUAAACUUUCCUUCGGGAAAGAUAUAAAGUGGCGCACGGGUGAGUAACACGUAGGUAAUGUACCUUUGGGUGGGGAAUAACUUAGGGAAACUUAAGCUAAUACCGCAUAAUGCAGCGGCUCCUUCGGGAGACAGUUGUUAAAGAUUUAUCGCCUAAAGAGCAGCCUGCGGCAGAUUAGCUAGUUGGUAAGGUAACGGCUUACCAAGGCUACGAUCUGUAUCCGACCUGAGAGGGUGGUCGGACACACUGACACUGAAUAACGGGUCAGACUCCUACGGGAGGCAGCAGUCGGGAAUUUUGGGCAAUGGGCGAAAGCCUGACGGAGCAAUGCCGCGUGAAGGAUGAAGGCCUAUGGGUUGUAAACUUCUUUUCUCAGAAAAGAAUUAUGACGGUAUCUGAGGAAUAAGCAUCGGCUAACUCUGUGCCAGCAGCCGCGGUAAGACAGAGGA